RNAcentral lists this microRNA (21 nucleotides) under Drosophila pseudoobscura pseudoobscura. Its description in RNAcentral is "mir-2542-1-RA". The record is from RNAcentral. Lineage: Eukaryota; Metazoa; Arthropoda; Insecta; Diptera; Drosophilidae.
UAUUUUUGCUCGGACAUUUAU